This 5370-nucleotide long non-coding RNA is filed under the name Fragaria vesca (wild strawberry). RNAcentral's name for it is "long non-coding RNA (FVES_LNC002495)". Lineage: Eukaryota; Viridiplantae; Streptophyta; Magnoliopsida; Rosales; Rosaceae. The record is from RNAcentral.
UACUAAGCAAAUUGUUAGAUUGUUUGUCCAUAUAUAAUACCUGACGUACGUUCAUGAAUAAGGUUAAUAACCUGAUAUGAAGAAGCCAUCUCCAAUUGGACUUGGAACAAACCUCUAAUUAAAUCAUUUAACAAUAAGAGUUACUCACACCAUGAAAAUCUUUCUUCAAUGAGGGAGCAUAAUUGCUAUAAUUCUUUAACACAUAAACUUGGUUGAGUGUUGAGUAUAACACACGAAUUAGCAGAAGAAAAUAUUUUACUAUUGGAAGUUUGUAAUGAUAUAUAUAACUGAAAAAUAAAUUAUGGAAAUUAAUCCAUGUAGGAGAUGAUGUGGUAGUGCCACAUCAUUUGGGAUAAAGUUUUGGUAUAAAUUUUUGGUGUCUUAAGCAUUUUCCUUUAUUUAAACAUAAUGAAAAAGUUUUCUUUUUCUAGGCUAAUGUAGUUUUUCUCUCAGAAAAAAAAAAAUACAAGACUGCACAACAAAAUAAAAAAGACAAAAAUGUAACAAAAAAUAUAAAAAUAAAAAAGACAAAAAGCAUAUUAACAAAACCAAAAUGACCACAUCAUCUCUAUGUAUCUCUCAUGAAACCUCAGCCACUCCCACAAUCCCUCUCUCACUAAAAGACCACCCCCAGCCACCCACACAAUCACCCCAACAAUCAUGAACUCAAAUGAAUUGGAUCGAUGAUGCUCCCAUCGAGCAAGUCGAUAGUUGAGAAGAUGAUUAGGGAGAUUCACACUCAAACAGAGGAUCAGAAUUGGAAAAUUGAUCCCUUAAGGUUUAGGGGUAAUAAUACCCAGGAGAUGAAUAAAAGUUGAGUUGAGUCGAUAGUUUCCGUAGUAUAUGAAAUUGGGUUGGUGAUGGUGAUAGCUAUUUGGUAUGGGUUUGAGCCAUGGGUAGGAGAUGAGAGAGCCAUGGAUGGAAGAUUCAAUAACUGAGGUAAAAUUAAACUUUUACUACACCAGCAUUUUUUGUCUCGUUUUUCAUUUUCGUUGACCGAGCAAUGAUUCAUUUAACUUUCCGUCUGAAACAAACGGUGCACGUGCAAACCACGUGAUCGGUUCAAAUCCAUCUAGGUGCACUGAAUCCGCUCCGUUGGAAUAUAAAUCUGCAAAUUCAAUUUUCUGGUCUAGAUUGGCUUCACGAGAAGGGGAUUGAGGACGAUGACGGAAAAUGAGUAUAGAGACGCCGUUUACAAAGUUCAGGGUAAUAAUAAUUAGAUGCUGAUGUGUAACGGUCCUCACCAUUGGAUUUUGAACUGACGGGUCAGAUUAGAAGUCAAGGAUAAACAAAGCUAAAAAUAGCCAAGAAGAGGAUCCUGGUCCCAAAAUGCAACCCCUUCUUCUAUUUCAACGUAGACAUUGAUUGAUCUGAUCCAUAUGUCAUGCCAUAUGUCACGAACUUGCUUGGAAAUGCUGGUUAUUUAGUUCCAAAAUGUAAAAUAGUCGGUACUUGUGAGGAUGGAGAUGAAAGCUGUAAGUUAGAGAAAUAUGUCAUAUAAUGUGUUCCACUGAUCGUUAAAAUCAAAAAAUUUGAAUUAUAAAACCUUUUUAAAUUUAAUGAGUUGUAAGAAAUGUAAAAAUUAUGUAAAUAUGAAUCUCAAUAAAUAAUAAAUAAAGAAAAAUCAAAGAUAAGCUUCUCUAGUUAACAUACAAAAUCAAAAUCAACAAGAUGAUGUUUUGUUUUUAUGUUUAGGGAAAAUUUUAAGAACAAUACAUGACUAAUGGUCAACUCAUAAUUUUGGUGUUUCAAGUUUCAAAACAAUCAUAACGGUACAUGAACUUGUAAUCUCAACCGAAAAUAUGUACAUACCGUUACUUUCUUCGUUAUCUUAUGUGUUUUCCUUUACACUUUGAGGGGCAAAUCUGUCACUCCUUAAUUUAACAAUAAUAAAUUAUUAAAAUCAAUAAUUAAAUUAAUAAUUAAUAAGAAGAGGGAAAUAAGAAAGGAAAAAGUAUUGUUGUCUCUAUUUUUCGUCCCCGUUCAAACCUAGCAUACACUAAAAUGGUGAUCAAGGUAGGACUGUAGAAAGAAGUUGGAAGAUGAUUUGAUUUGGUAAGUUAUGGAAGAAAGAGUUUGAAUAUAUAUCGGUGGGUAUUGAGUAAGGAAAUUUAGAGCGAGAAAGCUAUGUCCUAGUGUAGUCGGUUGUGCAUCAAACAACCUCCCAAGCCCGUAAACCAACAGGCAUUCCACCACAACCGAGGCCGCCCUGAGGUUCCGGCCCAUAAGAAGGACGGGCCAGGCCCAACCUCGGCGGUAGCAUUGGGCCGGGAACGGUUUCAGAAAGCAUAAGAAAACUGGGAGUUUGAAGUAACAGCAAAGGCAGUCGUCCCACAUCGGUUUUCAAGUAAAGACAACCCACUCUGGGCCAUAAAUAUGGCCCAACCACCAGCUUGUCAGGUAUCAUUAAUUACAUUCUACCAGCAAACAUUAACGUAAGCUUCAGAGGAGGAAAGACCAGAAACCCCCGGUCGUCCUUUGGCUUGCAGGUCAGCAGGAAGUCUGCCAGUCUCCUAUCAGACAUGUCAUAAGCUUUUGUCACCCUAUCCGGGAUCGUACAGAAACACCUAGUUUUACUUGGAUGGGGACGAGCAGAAAAUUCUUUUUUUGAUGAAUAUGAGUCUUUCAUUAAAACCAAACCCGGUAAUUUACAAAUACAACAAAUAGUAAACAAAGAAACCAGGUAAGAGAAAAACAACAAAGUGUUUGAAUAGAAAAAAAGAAAAAGAAAACAUAAUAUAAAGAAAGAGAGAAUAGAGAAAACCCGAAAUCAUCAUUUAAAAAAUGAGAAAUUACAUAAAGUUAACGGUUUUAUUGAUUACAUGUGUUAAAAAUGUGCCGGCUUUUAAACGUCAUGUAUCAUUUUGAUUGAUUUAAAACUUUGAAACACCCCGAUAAACUGCUCCGUCACCUCUAACCAAUGUGGUUUGUCACCCGGCAUUGGCGGACCCAUUCUUCGCCGGCCAGGACCACUAGACCCGCCUCCGGGCGGACCGCUUCCGCCCAUGGAGAAUGGUGACCGACGAGACUGCCGUUUAGUAUCCGAAACCGUAACAGCCAUCUCUUCGGGUAACCCGGGUAACAAACGGGUCUCGCCCGGUUUGACAUCUAACGGGUGGGCCUUCCACAGGGCAUACUCCAUGGCGGCUGAGCAAGCACCGGAGGUGAAAAAGCUGACCGCCGGAAUCUCAAACUUCUGAAAAAUCUCGAAAGUCCAGGUCAUCAUCAUUAUAUUAAUUGUCAAGAACCGCACAAAGGGGUAGGUCUGAAUCCGGACUCUCGUUUCGGGUGCCCAACUGCCAUCUGACUGUGAUUCCCGUGGUGGCUGCGAAGUGGCUGAGAACUCGGGUCCUGCGGCGGAGACGACGAAUCAGACUGUGGUGGUGCAUCAGAAAUCUCAACGAUUUCGACGAGCGGGUAUUGGCGGAGAGAUGAGGGGAUGGAGGAGGAGAGUUUGGAAGAGGAUAACCAGUACGGCUUUGAAGUUUCUGGAGGCCAAGUGCUUGCAGAGCUCCAUUAAAGGGAACAAAUGUCCCUAACCAAAGGCGGGAACAAUCCAAAUCUCAUCAUUUGCCAUAUUUGCAGAGUUGGGUUGGUGUUAGAGUGAACUAUAUAUCCAGAUAUAUCUAUAUAUAGAUAGCGCAGUGGAAGAAUGAAGAAGAAGGAAGGUAGAAGAAAGCUUAUCUAAGAUUGUAAGGAGUGGGAAUGGUUGUUAGGUAUGUGAGUGAAAGACGUGGUUGCGUGGCAACAGGGGACCGACCUAGCUGAAAUGCCGGACAUGUUAAAAUCGAAGGAAGGGGAUAGAGUGGACCGACCUCUUUGAUAUAUUUGAUGAGUGACUAAUGCAUGGUCGACAUGGAUGGUAAUCAUGCUAUUAUUUCAUUCUUCUUCUAUCUUCAUUAGCAAGAAAAUUAGAUACUUUAUUUUGUUGUUGUACGUGAUCAAGUAUGAAAAUUGUAUAACAUGUGAUGUUCCAAGAUUGAAACACACGUACAGUCUUUUUAGUUAUACAUAAAUACAUAGCAAGAAAAAGUUCUUAGUUUUUAUGUCUAAGGAAGUCUCCAAAGGCAUCUAAAGCAGCCACAGAACUAGUUGGAAAGCCAUGCUCAAACUUAGCACUAAGCUGCACAGCUCGUCGCUUCAUGUCUCCAUCACUCAGUAGUUUCUCAAUUCCUCUCGUUAUAUCCUCCUUCUUUAUUGUUUGUGACAAAUCUUCAGUAAUCAGGUACCCAAUUUUGAGAUAGCUCGCUACCAAUUUAGCGUCAGAAUGUUGGUCCCCUCUAAUCGGCCACGCCAAAAACGGGACUCCGCGCCCAAUUGCUUCCACUGUUGAGUUCCACCCACAAUGCGAAAGGAACCCUCCUGUUGAUGGAUGACUAAGUAUCAAGAGCUGUGGGGCCCACCCGUUUAUGAUCAGUCCUCGGUUUCCGACAUGUUUAUCUAGCUCGUGUGGAAAAUAGUCUUCUUCAGGUUCUGAAUGGGGUUGUGGGAGGCCAGGCGGAGGACCUCGGGGUUUUCCCGCGGUGGCUUGGACCACCCAUAUGAACGGUCGGGUAGAUUCUUCAAGUGCCUUGGCUAAUAUUGCAUACUCCUGCUUGGUCGGACCAACCUCGCUUCCGAAUGAAACGUAUAACACGGAUCCAUGUGGCUUCGUAUCUAGCCACUCAUUCACCUCGUCUUCGGUGAAAUUUGAUUUUCGAUGGGCGCGAACUUUGCUGUCGUGAAGAAUCGAACCGGUUGAUUUCCAAUACUGCUCGGGCAAGAGCGGGCCCACUCCCCAAACAGGUUUUUGAAUCUUAUUAGAGACGUAUUCAAUAAACGGAUGCUCUAGCUCAUCACACGUGUUAAUCAUCACUCCAACGGAAUGCUCGACCUCGUCUAACCAAUGUGGUGGGUCUCCGGGCUUUGGCGGACCCAUUCUUCGAGGACCAUGACCACCAGGCCCACCUGGUGGUGCUGGCCCAUGAGUAGGAAAACCCGCUCCUGGACUUCCUGGCGGUGGCCCGCCCCCACCCAUGGGGAAUGGUGGCGGCCGAGACUGCCGUUUAAUAUCUGAAACCGUCACUGCCAUCUCUUCCGGCAACCCGGGUAGCAAACGGGUCUCCCCCGGCUUGACAUCUAACGGGUGGGCCUUCCACAGGGCAUACUCCAUGGCGGCUGAGCAAGCACCGGAGGUGAAAAAGCUGACCGCCGGAAUCUUAAACUUCUGAAAGGUCUCAGAAGUCCAGCUCAUCAUGUUGUCAAGAACCGCACAAAGGGGUAGGACUGCAUCCGGACUCUCGCUUCUGGUCGAGAGGAGCUUCUCAAGCCCGACUGCCAUCUGGCCGUGGUGUCCGGGGUGGCGGUGAAGCGGCUGAGAACUAGGCUCUU